AGUGAAGCGGCAAAAGCUCAAAUUUGAAAUCUGGCGCCUUCGGUGUCCGAGUUGUAAUUUGAAGAUUGUAACCUUGGGGUUGGCUCUUGUCUAUGUUUCUUGGAACAGGACGUCACAGAGGGUGAGAAUCCCGUGCGAUGAGAUGCCCAAUUCUAUGUAAGGUGCUUUCGAAGAGUCGAGUUGUUUGGGAAUGCAGCUCUAAGUGGGUGGUAAAUUCCAUCUAAAGCUAAAUAUUGGCGAGAGACCGAUAGCGAACAAGUACAGUGAUGGAAAGAUGAAAAGAACUUUGAAAAGAGAGUGAAAAAGUACGUGAAAUUGUUGAAAGGGAAGGGUUUGAGAUCAGACUCGAUAUUUUGUGAGCCUUGCCUUCGUGGCGGGGUGACCCGCAGCUUAUCGGGCCAGCAUCGGUUUGGGCGGUAGGAUAAUGGCGUAGGAAUGUGAC
RNAcentral lists this ribosomal RNA (442 nucleotides) under Meyerozyma guilliermondii. RNAcentral describes it as "partial 26S ribosomal RNA". It matches the Rfam family "Eukaryotic large subunit ribosomal RNA", at positions 92 to 539 of the family's 3401-position model. The record is from RNAcentral. Lineage: Eukaryota; Fungi; Ascomycota; Pichiomycetes; Serinales; Debaryomycetaceae.